This 273-nucleotide long non-coding RNA is filed under the name Mustela putorius furo (domestic ferret). RNAcentral's name for it is "lncRNA (ENSMPUG00000026467.1)". Lineage: Eukaryota; Metazoa; Chordata; Mammalia; Carnivora; Mustelidae. The record is from RNAcentral.
GGCGACUUGCUGAGUCUGGAAGAGGCAGGCCCCAGCCAGGCCUGUUAGGCUGAGGUCCCCCGCCUUGUUUGCCUCCCGCAUGGCUGUCUCUCGAGGGAGGGACGAGUUCUUUCAAAGGAAGCUGCUCUUACGAUCAGCUGAACUAGGCUGUUUGGUCAUCUGUGAUGGGGGACGGACUGCCAGAGUUUUGAGGCUACCACCCAGCUGUGAGCCCUCUGUGGCCUCUGCCUCCCACUCCGUGACUCUUGGAGGAGCUGCAGACCUCAGGACAGG